GAUGAACGCUAGCGGCAGGCUUAACACAUGCAAGUCGAGGGGUAGAAGGAGCUUGCUCCUUUGAGACCGGCGCACGGGUGCGUAACGCGUAUGCAAUCUACCUUUUGCAGAGGGAUAGCCCAGAGAAAUUUGGAUUAAUACCUCAUAGUAUGUGAGGAUGGCAUCAUUUCACAUUAAAGUCACAACGGCAAAAGAUGAGCAUGCGUCCCAUUAGCUAGUUGGUAAGGUAACGGCUUACCAAGGCUACGAUGGGUAGGGUCCUGAGAGGGAGAUCCCCACACUGGUACUGAG
RNAcentral lists this ribosomal RNA (291 nucleotides) under uncultured bacterium. RNAcentral's name for it is "partial 16S ribosomal RNA". It matches the Rfam family "Bacterial small subunit ribosomal RNA", at positions 28 to 323 of the family's 1533-position model. The record is from RNAcentral.